This 426-nucleotide ribosomal RNA is filed under the name uncultured Paraglomeraceae. RNAcentral's name for it is "bacterial SSU rRNA". It matches the Rfam family "Eukaryotic small subunit ribosomal RNA", at positions 459 to 886 of the family's 1831-position model. The record is from RNAcentral. Lineage: Eukaryota; Fungi; Glomeromycota; Glomeromycetes; Paraglomerales.
GGGAGGUAGUGACAAUAAAUAACAAUACGGGGUUCUUUCGGAUUUCGUAAUUGGAAUGAGUACAAUUUAAAUCUCUUAACGAGGAACAAUUGGAGGGCAAGUCUGGUGCCAGCAGCCGCGGUAAUUCCAGCUCCAAUAGCGUAUAUUAAAGUUGUUGCAGUUAAAAAGCUCGUAGUUGAACCUUAGGCCCGUGCGGGCGGUCCGUCCUCUGGGCGAGCACUGCUUCGUCGCGGGUCUCACCUUCUGGCGAGCGUGGAUGCCAUUUAUUUGGUGUCCGCGGGAACCAGGACCUUUACCUUGAAAAAAUUAGAGUGCUCAAAGCGGGCUCCGACGCUUGAAUACAUUAGCAUGGAAUAAUGAAAUAGGACGAUGGUUCUAUUUUGUUGGUUUCCGGGACGGUCGUAAUGAUUAAUAGGGAUAGUUGGG